This 301-nucleotide ribosomal RNA is filed under the name uncultured bacterium. RNAcentral describes it as "partial 16S ribosomal RNA". It matches the Rfam family "Bacterial small subunit ribosomal RNA", at positions 509 to 807 of the family's 1533-position model. The record is from RNAcentral.
CAGUCGCCGCAGGAAUACGGAGGGUGCAAGCGUUAAUCGGAAUUACUGGGCGUAAAGCGCACGCAGGCGGUCUGUCAAGUCAGAUGUGAAAUCCCCGGGCUUAACCUGGGAACUGCAUUUGAAACUGGCAGGCUAGAGUCUUGUAGAGGGGGGUAGAAUUCCAGGUGUAGCGGUGAAAUGCGUAGAGAUCUGGAGGAAUACCGGUGGCGAAGGCGGCCCCCUGGACAAAGACUGACGCUCAGGUGCGAAAGCGUGGGGAGCAAACAGGAUUAGAUACCCGUGUAGUCCCUGUCUCUUAUAC